UUUUCCCUGCGCUGUUGGUGAUUUGUAGUGUUGUUGAGCCAACUCCCUUAAAAAGGGUGCUACCACUGUUUGUUGAGGGGAGAGCGACCAUCUCCCUGAAGCUGACAUGCGGCGCCCACCUAUUACGAUAGGUUUAACUUGUCCUGCAGACACGGCAGGGUGGGGAAAAA
RNAcentral lists this non-coding RNA (170 nucleotides) under Desulfobacterales bacterium. RNAcentral's name for it is "6S RNA". It matches the Rfam family "6S / SsrS RNA". Rfam says of the family: E. coli 6S RNA was the first non coding RNA to be sequenced, but its function was unknown until recently. It consists of 184 nucleotides that fold into an extended hairpin structure with a large single-stranded internal bulge. The record is from RNAcentral. Lineage: Bacteria; Pseudomonadati; Thermodesulfobacteriota; Desulfobacteria; Desulfobacterales.